CUCCGCCUUUGCCGGAUGCACGGGGGGUAUGGUCACUAGUGUAACCAGGGGGUGAGGCCUCAUUUAACACAGUAAAUUCAUCAGGCUUAAGCCAUGUUUCAGUCAGGCCAAUCACAUCAAGAUUAUUAUCAGUGAUUAGUUCAUUGACUAUAACUGCCUUGGAAGUGAGGGAUCUAACAUUAAGUAACCCAAUUUUGAGAUGUGAGGUAUCACAAUAUCUUUCAAUAAUGGCAGGAAUGGAGGAGGUCUUUAUACUAGUGAGAUUGCUAAAGCGAACACUGCCAUUUUUAAUUUUGCCCAACCUAGAUCGAGGCACAGACACGUUCUCAAUGGGGAAAGCUGAGCUGACUACGCUGACUGUGCUAGUGGCAGAAAACAUUUAUGAGGUGAAAAGUUGUGUUUAUACAACAAAGCCCAGAAAAUUAAAGCCUGCUUGUGAAAAGCCGGCAGUUUCACAGGAAGUUUACCCACAAUAUAUGGACAUUGUAGUAAAAAAUUAAGCCCUCCGAACUUCUGAAAAACAAAAUGAGGUAUAAUAUUCCAGAAACUAUGAGGAUUUUUCUGUACCUUUUUAAUCCAGUUGACCUUUAUCUGAUUGAAGAGAGUGAAGUCUAAGACAUUUAGAUCGCCAUCACAAACCUUGUUGGUGAUAACAUCUCUUUUUAUCUUAUAUGGCUUGUUUUUCCAUAUGAAGUUGUACAAAAGCCUAUCUAAGGUACAGCAAGUGGAUUUGGGAAUGUCAAUAGAUGAAAAAAAGAGCCCAUCAGCUUUGGAUAAAAGCACCCUUCCUUGAAGACUUAAAUCCCUCACUAACCAUGAGGAUAAAGACAGAUUCAGUUACAGGGUUCAAAUUAAGAUCAUUCACAGCCUUAAGAUUUUUGGUGAUCUUUACACCGAGGUAGUUUACAGUAUCUUUUUCAGAGAUGUUACAAUCUGCUGGAUUGACAGCUCCUUUCAAAACAAACAUCUCACAUUUGGAAAGAUUUAAUGCCAAACACGAGAUUUUGGAGAACUGCUUCACAAUAUCCAAUGCUAAUCUAGCUUGUGACACAUUUAAAAAAAAAAAGGUGAGUUAUCAUCCGCCAGUUGGGAUAUCUUGAUCUCUCUGGCCUGGAAUGUAAUGCCUUCAAAUGAACUUUUAUGAACUAAAGAGCAUAACAUUUAAGAUACUAACAAAAAUAAAAAAGGUGAAAUUGGACAACCUUGUCGUAUUCUUUUGUAAAUGUUAAACCAGAGUUUGAUACAGCUAUUGCCACCAUUAUACAGAGUUCUAAUAGCAUCAACAAAAAAACGACCAAAUUUCAAAUGCUUAAGACAAUCAAAGAUAAAAUUGUGACUUACUGUAUCAAAUGCUUUCUGAAAAUCCCAAAAUAGGAUAACAGGGAAGUCAUCCAAUAGAUCACAAUACUCAACCAAGUCUAACACCAGCCUCAGAUUAUCAGAUAUAUGGCGCCCUUUCAUAAACCCUGAUUGACAUUCAUCAAUCAGAUCAUUCAAGCCAGACUUUAACCUUUUUGCAAAGACUAAGGCUAUAAUUUUGUAGUCAUUAUUUAGGAGUGUGAUUGGACGGCAAUUAUCAAUAUUUAAGAGAUCCUGUUGGGAGAGACGGACCAAGGUGCAGCGUAAUUGGAGUUCCACAUCUUUAUUUUAGUGAAACUUAAACAAACCAAGAAACAAACAACGACCAUGAAGUACCAUAGUGCUACAUGCACUCACUCAAAACAAUAUCCCACAAAACACAGGUGGGAAACAGGCUACCUAAAUAUGAUCCACAAUUAGAGGCAACGAUUACCAGCUGCCUCUAAUUGGGAACCAUACAACUCACCAACAUAGAAAUACAAUGACUAGAACACCCCCCUAGUCACACUCUGACCUAAACACCAAGGGCUCUCUAUGUUCAGGGCGUGACAGUACCCCCCCUCUGCACUGGCGCAGAGGAAUACUCCGGCCCUGGAGCGGGACUGGAUGCCGUGCCUGGACGCCGUGCCUGGACUGGGCACCGGCGCAGAGGAAGGCUCCGGCCAUGGAACGGGACUGGACGCCGUGCCUGGACUGGGCCCCGGCACAGAGAAAGGCUCCUGCCAUGGAGUGGGACUGGACGCCGUGCCUGGACGCCAUGCCUGGACUGGGCACCGGCGCAGAGGAAGGCUCCGGCCAUGGAACGGGACUGGACGCCGUGCCUGGACUGGGCCCCGGCGCAGAGAAAGGCUCCUGCCAUGGAGCGGGACUGGACAUCGUGCCUGGACUGGGCACCGGCGCAGAGAAAGGCUCCUGCCCUGGCACUGGCGCAGGAAGCUCCGGGCCGUGGACCAUCAUUGGAAGCUCCAGACAGUGGACUGUCGCUGGAAGCUCCGGGCCGUUGACCGUCGCUGGAAGCUCCGGGCCGUUGACCGUCGCUGGAAGCUCCGGGCCGUUGACCGUCGCUGGAAGCUCCGGGCCGUGAACCGUCGCUGGAAGCUCCGGGCUGUAGACCGUCGCUGGAAGCUCCGGGCUGUAGACCGUCGCUGGAGUCUUAGUGCAUGGAGCCAGUACAGGUGACACCGGACUGGUGACACGCACUUCUGGGUGAGUACGAGGAGCUGGCACAGGACGUACCCAACUGGGGAGGCGCACUGGAGGCCUGGUGCGUGGAGCCAGCACAGGUGGCACCAGACUGUUGACACGCACUUCAGGGCGAAUGCGGGGAGCUGGCACAGGACGUACCAGACUGGGGAGGAGCACUGGAGGCUUGGUGCGUGGAGCCGGCACAGGUGGCACCGGACUGGUGAUACGCACUUCAGGGCGAGUGCGGGGAGCUGGCACAUGAUGUACCGGACUGGGGAGGCGCACUGGAGGCCUGGUGCGUGGAGCCAGCACAGGUGGCACCGGACUGUUGACAUGCACUUCAGGGCGAGUGCGGGGAGCUGGCACAGGACAUACCAGACUGGGGAGGCGCACUGGAGGCCUAGUGCGUGGAGCCGGCACAGGUGGCACCAGACUGUUGACACGCACUUCGCCUCCCUGACGGUCUCUGGCUCUUCAGGGCGAGUGCGAGGAGCUGGCACAGAUGGCACCAGACUGGUGUCACGCUCUUCAGCACGCCUGUGCUGCAGCAUACUCCUAGCCAAAACCUCUCUCCUGUAUCCCUCAUUGAACUCCUCCAGAGACUCCCAUUCGGGCUCUGGCACUCUCCGCUACUCAGCCGUCCGCCCCAUGUGCCCCCCCCAAAAAAAAUCUUGGGGUUUCUGUGGCCGCAGUCCCCGGCGUUGUCGCUGUCCUUCCUGCGUCCUCUGCGACUUCCGCCAAGGAAGGGUCUCGUGUCCUCCCAUGAUCUCCUCCCAUGUCCAAAACUCCUUUAUCUCAUGAACACGCUGCUUGGUCCUUGUGUGGUGGGAUAUUCUGUCAUGGCUGUUGGGAGAGACGGACCAAGGCGCAGCGUGAUUGGAGUUCCACAUCUUUAUUUUAGUGAAACUUAAACAAACCAAGAAACAAACAACGACCGUGAAGUACCAUAGUGCUACAUGCACUCACUCAAAACAAUAUCCCACAAAACACAGGUGGGAAACAGGCUACCUAAAUAUGAUCCCUAAUUAGAGGCAACGAUUACCAGCUGCCUCUAAUUGGGAACCAUACAGCUCACCAACAUACAAAUACAAUGACUAGAACACCCCCCUAGUCACGCUCUGACCUAAACACCAUAGAGAACCAAGGGCUCUCUAUGGUCAGGGCGUGACAAACCCCUUGCUUCAGAGAUGCAGUUAGUUCUCCCUUUAUAGCCUCCUUAAAGGUUUCAAGUAAAAAUUGUGCUAUUUCUUCAGAGAAGGUUUUGUAAAAUUCAGAGGUUAAUCCAUCACAACCUGGAGAUUUGUUAUUUUUUAACUGAGCAACCCCGUACUGGAUGUCCAUAAUGGAUAAAUCUUGACAACAAGACUUCACUAACCGAAUUAACAUUCUCUAUAGAAUCAAGGAGAUCCUUAGAGUCACUCAAAUUGUUAUCUAAGGAGUAAAGAUUCUCAUAAAAUGUAGUGUUAAAGUCUGAUAACAACUCUCUAUCCUCAGUGGUAAGCCCAUUAAUCUUAAGUUUCCGAAGUGUGUUGAGUUCCCCUCUCCUCUUUUCCAAAUUAAAAAAGUAUCUACUGUUCUUUUCGCCUUUUUCAAGCCAUUGUUUUCUGGAUCUUAUGAAAGCUCCUCUAGUCUUUUCCUCAUACAAUGUAUCUAGUUGAUUCUGUAAAUCAUUCAAUUUAGCUUUCUCAUUAAGAUCAAGAUGCUCAAUCUCUGUGACAUCCGCAAUUGUCUUAGAGAGUUCAGCUACCUCACAUCUCCUUAAAGCAAGCCGUUUUCCAUAAGUAAUACAGGCUGAGUGGAUUUUAAAUUUCAGCAGUUCCCAAUAUUUCCCAUAUUCUGCAUUAGAUGUAGCUAAACUCCAGUAAACAGAAAUUAGAUUCUUAAUCACAUUUUUUAAAUCAUCAUGCAAUAACAAUGAGUUAUGUAAUUUCCAAUAACCACCAGAGUAUUUCUUACCAUCAUUACUGCAUAAUUCUUACAGUCAACCAUAUGACUUUAUGAUCCGUCAGGACUGCAGGCUGUAUUUUGACCUCUACAGUGUUGGGCUCAAGACUAGAGGAUAUCACCCACAAAUCAAUUCUUCAUUGUAAGGAACGAUCUCUAUUACUCCAUGUGUAUUGUUUCUCUCCAGGGUUUUUAACUCUCCAUAUGUCAAUUAAAUCCAGGCUUUGGUAGUAAUUCACCAAUUUGUUCACACCAAUGUUAGGCCUAUGGGGCAAUCUAUCAGUCUCAUUAGAAUAAACCAUAUUAAAAUCUCCAUCAACUAUAAUCUGACUGGAUGGAUAUUUUCUCAGAAGACUUUUAAGAAUUUCUUCAAUUUCCUCUAGAAGUAAGUUAUUUGGAGGACUUGAACAGUAUCCAUAUACAUUACACAACACAAAUAAUCUGUCCAUGUGGUUGAUGACCGCUACUAGCCAAUGUCCAUUGGAGUCCAUUUGAGUAAACAAAAAUGUACGAAUGAUUAGUCCCGUGGGCCAAAGAAAUGACAUUGCCCCACUGAUUUUUCCAAUAAUUAUAGUCCUCUUUGCAUGAAUGUGUUUCUUGAACGAAUACAAGAUCUGCGUUGCAGUCCUUACAAAACAAAAAAAGCUUUUUCUCUUCAACAGGUUUCGUAUCCCCCUGGCAUUGAUUGACAUAAACUUCAAGUCCAUAUCUAUAGAAUAGAAAGAAAAAUCCUAUGCAAUCUCAACUCUACCCUCUCUAUAAAAUGUUGCUUCAUAUAUGUAUUAACAGAAGUCUUAACUUGUAAACAGUAACACCAUAAUUCAAAACUAGAACGCUCAGUUUGCAGUGGGGAAGGAGUUACUUUGUAAACCCACCGACAGAACAAAUCACCCCGGUCGUAUUUAUUUUCCGUCGGCGAAAAAGGCUCUAAUUCCCCUGUAGUAUCCACCCUUUCCUUGAUUUCGGGCCUGUUGUAUAAGAGGCCACAAUUUUGCCUUUGCUGCCUUGUCUGCUGCAGUCAAGUCCUCACCGAAUCUAAAUUUUCUCUCUUUCAGAAAGGCACUUUCCUUUGCUUUCUUCCAAACUGCAUCUCUCGCUGUGCAAAAAGCAAACUGGAUGAUGAUCGAGUGCCUGACGAUGGCAUCUUGCUUAUUCCCAAUACGAUGAGCGACAUCCACAGCCAUAUAUCCAUCGGGGAAGUCCGGUGCCACACGGUUACAGAUGUCUCUUACUAAGCGCUUCACAUUCUCAUCCUGGUCCUCGGGGACACCAUAAAGCCGUAGCCCCCACCUUCUCCGGUAUUGCUCUGCUUCCGAUAAGAGCUCUUGCAUGUCUGCGAUGGUCUUCUCCUGUGCAGUGCAUUUCUCAGAAGUAGCAGUGUUUGCAAGUUUAAGCGCUUCGAUACUCUUGUAUGCAUGAUUCAGAGAGGUCUCGAGGUCAACUAUUUUUUUACGUGUUUUAGCGUAUCAUUUUCUCCAGACCAUCGUCUCUUUCGUUUAUCUUUGCAGAGACAGCAUCGAUUUAUGUUGACCUGUAGUUUGCGCAAAGACAAUUCCUUCUGGGUCUUUUUGGGUGCGGGACUAUUGACUGGAUUUUCAGAAUCAACCGAAUGUCCAGAAUCCUCCAUUUCUUCUCCUGAGGAGUCAGGUGUCGGUUUUUCUCCAACGUAUGAGUGCUCAGCUUGCAACUGCCUUCUCCUCCCUUUGCUCUUUCGCACAGUUUUUUCUUCCAUUUCUCAAAGUUUCAGAUCAAAUUAGCGGUCAACUAAGCGUUGUUCUCUAUUGUGUUUACUAUAAGCCAAGUUCCGUUACAUUUAAGUAAGUUUGAGUGGGAUAAACGUUAAGGUUACUCGGAGCAAGCUGAAAUCUCAUCUGCACUCGCCGCCAUCUUCAGCACCCCCCGGGCCGAGCCAACUCAGUCACACACUUAGCAGCCGAGAAGACAGAGGAAGGGCAGCUAUGAAAGCAACAGCUGGAAAAUGAGUCGGAAGCACAGUAGCAGUUGGAUGCAUUUUAAUAAUGUAGACAAUGUUAGAGCACAGUGUAGAAUUUGCCAAAACAAAAUCUCAUAUAAAGCCGGUUCUACGCAAAACCUAGACCGGCAUAUGCGAACUGUGCACCCAACUGUGAAGCUAGCUGUAGCGGAGCUUCGAGAAACUAGCGGGCCUGCUAGUGAUAGUGGUGGAGCCUGCACCUCCACAUGUGGAGAUGUAUCCACUCAGUCAAGUAGGCCUACUCCGUGACCCACAGAAACGCAGUCUUCUAUGGACCAGUUUAUGCCAAUGUCUGUAGCAAAACAAGGCCAAAUUGAUAUUGCAUUGGCUAAAAUGAUUGCCACUGAUUUCCAGCCAUUUUCGAACAUAGAGGACAGAGGUUUUAGAAAUUAUAGCAAUAGUCUAAAUCCAAUGUACACAAUUCCAAGCAGGAAAACCCUUUUAAAAUCACCUGAUUGUAAGAGAUGCUCUGAAGGUGAUGAAGCCCACUGUGGACAAAGUGAAAGCAGCUGUGGAAUACUUCCACCACAGGAGCACAGUAAGUGCUGAAAAACUAGUCUACACAAUGCCAGAUGGGGAUGCCUGAGCUGAGGCCUAAACAAGACUGCACUACAAGGUGGAAUUCAACAUUGUAUAUGUUGAAGCGGCUUCUUGAGUCAAAGGAUGCCAUCAUCUCUACCCUGGCCAUUGUCACAAUGCACCUGUUGAUGCUCUGGCCCAAGAGGAAUGGGAGGUGGUGAAUGAGGUGUGCAGAGUCCUGGAACCCUUUGAGCAGGUCACUGUGGAGAUCAGUGGAGAGAGGUACAGUAAGCAGUUAUUACUACAUCAUUAUUUAAUCCAGUAUUAUAUACAGUGGGGGAAAAAAGUAUUUGAUCCCCUGCUGAUUUUGUACGUUUGCCCACUUACAAAGAAAUGAUCAGUCUAUAAUUUUAAUAGUAGGUUUAUUUGAACAGUGAAAGACAGAAUAACAACAAACCAAUCCAGAAAAACGCAUGUCAGAAAUGUUAUAAAAUUAUUUGCAUUUUAAUGAGGGAAAUAAGUAUUUGACCCCUCUGCAAAACAUGACUUAGUACUUGGUGGCAAAACCCUUGUUGGCAAUCACAGAUGUCAGAUGUUUCUUGUAGUUGGCCACCAGGUCUGCACACAUCUCAGGAGGGAUUUUGUCCCACUCCUCUUUGCAGAUCUUCUCCAAGUCAUUAAGGUUUCGAGGCUGACGUUUGGCAACUCGAACCUUCAGCUCCCUCCACAGAUUUCCUAUGGGAUUAAGGUCUGGAGACUGGCUAGGCCACUCCAGGACCUUAAUGUGCUUCUUCUUGAGCCACUCCUUUGUUGCCUUGGCCGUGUGUUUUGGGUCAUUGUCAUGCUGGAAUACCCAUCCACGACCCAUUUUCAAUGCCCUGGCUGAGGGAAGUUGUCCUAUCCCCUUAGCAGAAAAACACCCCCAAAGCAUAAUGUUUCCACCUCCAUGUUUGAUGGUGGAGAUGGUGUUCUUGGGGUCAUAAGCAGCAUUCCUCCUCCUCCAAACACAGUGAGUUGAGUUGAUGUCGAAGAGCUCCAUUUUGGUCUCAUCUGACCACAACACUUUCACCAGUUGUCCUCUGAGUCAUUCAGAUGUUCAUUGGCAGACUUCAGACAGGCCUGUAUAUGUAUUCUUGAGCAGGGGGACCUUGCGGGCGCUGCAGGAUUUCAGUCCUUCACGGCGUAGUGUGUUACCAAUUGUUUUCUUGGUGACUAUGGUCCCAGCUGCCUUGAGAUCAUUGACAAGAUCCUCCCGUGUAGUUCUGGGCUGAUUCCUCACCGUUCUCAUGAUCAUUGCAACUCCACGAGGUGAGAUCUUGCAUGGAGCCCCAGGCCGAGGGAUAUUGACAGUUAUUUUGUGUUUCUUCCAUUUGCGAAAGAUCGCACCAAAUGUUGUCACCUUCUCACCAAGCUGCUUGGCGAUGGUCUUGUAGCCCAUUCCAGCCUUGUGUAGGUCUACAAUCUUGUCCCUGACAUCCUUGGAGAGCUCUUUGGUCUUGGCCAUGGUGGAGAGUUUGGAAUCUGAUUGAUUGAUUGCUUCUGUGGACAGGUGUCUUUUAUACAGGUAACAAGCUGAGAUUAGGAGCACUCCCUUUUAGAGUGUGCUCCUAAUCUCAGCUCGUUACCUGUAUAAAAGACACCUGGGAGCCAGAAAUCUUUC
RNAcentral lists this long non-coding RNA (8660 nucleotides) under Salmo salar (Atlantic salmon). RNAcentral's name for it is "lncRNA (ENSSSAG00000092112.1)". Lineage: Eukaryota; Metazoa; Chordata; Actinopteri; Salmoniformes; Salmonidae. The record is from RNAcentral.